RNAcentral lists this ribosomal RNA (497 nucleotides) under uncultured bacterium. RNAcentral describes it as "partial 16S ribosomal RNA". It matches the Rfam family "Bacterial small subunit ribosomal RNA", at positions 28 to 507 of the family's 1533-position model. The record is from RNAcentral.
GACGAACGCUGGCGGCGUGCCUAAUACAUGCAAGUUGAGCGCUGAAGGUUGGUACUUGUGCCAACUGGAUGAGCAGCGAACGGGUGGGUAACGCGUGGGGAAUCUGCCUUUGAGCGGGGGACAACAUUUGGAAACGAAUGCUAAUACCGCAUAAAAACUUUAAACACAAGUUUUAAGUUUGAAAGAUGCAAUUGCAUCACUCAAAGAUGAUCCCGCGUUGUAUUAGCUAGUUGGUGAGGUAAAGGCUCACCAAGGCGAUGAUACAUAGCCGACCUGAGAGGGUGAUCGGCCACAUUGGGACUGAGACACGGCCCAAACUCCUACGGGAGGCAGCAGUAGGGAAUCUUCGGCAAUGGACGAAAGUCUGACCGAGCAACGCCGCGUGAGUGAAGAAGGUUUUCGGAUCGUAAAACUCUGUUGGUAGAGAAGAACGUUGGUGAGAGUGGAAAGCUCAUCAAGUGACGGUAACUACCCAGAAAGGGACGGCUAACUACGUG